Molecule: transfer RNA, 74 nt
Filed under: Candidatus Ancillula kalotermitis
Lineage: Bacteria; Bacillati; Actinomycetota; Actinomycetes; Bifidobacteriales; Bifidobacteriaceae
Description: tRNA-Arg
Rfam family: tRNA
About the family: Transfer RNA (tRNA) molecules are approximately 80 nucleotides in length. Their secondary structure includes four short double-helical elements and three loops (D, anti-codon, and T loops).
Source: RNAcentral
CCACCCGUAGCUCAGUUGGAUAGAGCAACGGACUUCUAAUCCGUAGGUCGCUGGUUCGAAUCCAGUCGGGUGGA